Molecule: ribosomal RNA, 481 nt
Filed under: uncultured bacterium
Lineage: Bacteria
Description: partial 16S ribosomal RNA
Rfam family: Bacterial small subunit ribosomal RNA
Source: RNAcentral
GCUUAACACAUGCAAGUCGAGCGAGAAUCGUUUAUUGAAGGCUUCGGCUGGAAAUAGAUGAGGAAAGCGGCGAACGGGUGAGUAACGCGUGGGCAACCUGGCCUUAAGAAAAGGAUAGCCCCCGGAAACGGGGAGUAAUACUUUAUGAGAAUGAAAGAGGGCAUCCUACUUCCAUUCAAAGCGCAAGCGCUUAAGGAUGGGACCGCGUAUCAUUAGCUAGUUGGUGAGAUAACAGCCCACCAAGGCAACGAUGAUUAGCCGGUCUGAGAGGGCGAACGGCCACAUUGGAACUGAGAGACGGUACAAACUCCUACGGGAGGCAGCAGUGGGGAAUAUUGCGCAAUGGAGAAGAACUCUGACGCAGCAAUACCGCGUGAGCGAAGAAGGUCUUCGGAUCGUAAAGCUCUGUUAUCAGGGAAGAGGAAAAUGACGGUACCACUAGAGAAAGCACCGGCUAACUUCGUGCCAGCAGCCGCGGUAA